RNAcentral lists this ribosomal RNA (447 nucleotides) under uncultured bacterium. Its description in RNAcentral is "bacterial SSU rRNA". It matches the Rfam family "Bacterial small subunit ribosomal RNA", at positions 355 to 825 of the family's 1533-position model. The record is from RNAcentral.
UGGGGAAUCUUGGACAAUGGGCGCAAGCCUGAUCCAGCCAUGCCGCGUGAGUGACGAAGGUCUUCGGAUUGUAAAGCUCUUUUGCCAGGGACGAUAAUGACGGUACCUGGAGAAUAAGCCCCGGCUAACUUCGUGCCAGCAGCCGCGGUAAUACGAAGGGGGCUAGCGUUGUUCGGAAUUACUGGGCGUAAAGCGCACGUAGGCGGAUUUGUAAGUCAGGGGUGAAAUCCCGGGGCUCAACCUCGGAACUGCCCUUGAUACUGCAAAUCUCGAGUCCGAUAGAGGUGAGUGGAAUUCCUAGUGUAGAGGUGAAAUUCGUAGAUAUUAGGAAGAACACCAGUGGCGAAGGCGGCUCACUGGAUCGGUACUGACGCUGAGGUGCGAAAGCGUGGGGAGCAAACAGGAUUAGAUACCCAAGUAGUCCCUGAGCGGGCUGGCAAGGCGCAU